Dicentrarchus labrax (European seabass) is the source of this 585-nucleotide long non-coding RNA. RefSeq lists it as uncharacterized. Lineage: Eukaryota; Metazoa; Chordata; Actinopteri; Moronidae. The transcript has 2 exons. The record is from RefSeq and is a predicted model, not a curated record.
GGCGCAGUGCAUGCUGGGUAUUGUUAUUGAUUAAUCCAGAGCCCGUGUACCGAGAGCCUGGCCGCUCCCCAUAAGGUCCCAUUGUACCGAACACUGGUUGCAGUUCCAGCAGAGGUCCACUGGGGGCGCUCUCCCAUCAGUGCAGAAUGAAUGGGAGCAGAUGGAGCUGAUUGUGGUUGAGAGAUCUCAGAUGUGAUUGUAGUUUUUAAAGUUCAACAUGGGUUAUAGGUCGAAAGCUGAAUGAACGAGUUCUGAUGUCCUUUAGAUUUCUUACAGGACGAGUUGUUGUUGCCCAUAACGCGCUAGCAUUCUGCUAAUGAACGCUGAUUGGUCAGUGAAGGACUGAUUACGACCAGAGAUCCCGCUCGAUGGCAUCGUGGCAUCCGAAGCCCGACCACAAUGUUAAGGCCGAUUUUUUUGCCCAAGUUCUUUUUUUGAACACAGAAACUUUUUUGUGUUGCUGGUACUUUUAUCUGCCGAUCGUUACGUCUGUGUCGUCGAAGCACAAAGAGACUCGAGGCUCGCCGUAAAGCGGUAUCUCUGGCCGUACGAUGUGUGUGACGUCACUGACAUUUUAAAGACUUU